RNAcentral lists this ribosomal RNA (496 nucleotides) under Ammoniphilus sp. RNAcentral describes it as "bacterial SSU rRNA". It matches the Rfam family "Bacterial small subunit ribosomal RNA", at positions 1 to 494 of the family's 1533-position model. The record is from RNAcentral. Lineage: Bacteria; Bacillati; Bacillota; Bacilli; Caryophanales; Paenibacillaceae.
UCGAAGAGGUUUUUUGCUUGCUCAUGACGAACGCUGGCGGCGUGCCUAAUACAUGCAAGUCGAGCGAAGUGGAGGAAGCUUGCUUCCAAAGCUUAGCGGCGAACGGGUGAGUAACACGUGGGCAACCUGCCUGACAGACUGGGAUAACUUGGGGAAACUCAAGCUAAUACCGGAUAGUAUCGCAAACUGCAUGGUUUGCGAUGGAAAGUCUGAACGACACUGUCAGAUGGGCCCGCGGCGCAUUAGCUAGUUGGUGGGGUAAUGGCCUACCAAGGCGACGAUGCGUAGCCGACCUGAGAGGGUGACCGGCCACACUGGGACUGAGACACGGCCCAGACUCCUACGGGAGGCAGCAGUAGGGAAUCUUCCACAAUGGGCGAAAGCCUGAUGGAGCAACGCCGCGUGAGUGAUGAAGGUUUUCGGAUCGUAAAACUCUGUUGUUAGGGAAGAACACCCGGGAGAGGAUCCCGGUUGACGGUACCUGACGAGAAGUCCC